This 460-nucleotide ribosomal RNA is filed under the name uncultured marine microorganism. RNAcentral's name for it is "bacterial SSU rRNA". It matches the Rfam family "Bacterial small subunit ribosomal RNA", at positions 355 to 830 of the family's 1533-position model. The record is from RNAcentral.
UGGGGAANCUUCCGCAAUGGGCGAAAGCCUGACGGAGCAAUACCGCGUGAGGGAGGAAUGCCUUUGGGUUGUAAACCUCUUUUCUCAGGGAAGAAGAUCUGACGGUACCUGAGGAAUAAGUAUCGGCUAACUCCGUGCCAGCAGCCGCGGUAAUACGGAGGAUGCAAGCGUUAUCCGGAAUCAUUGGGCGUAAAGCGUCCGCAGGUGGUUUCCAAAGUCUGCUGUUAAAGACUGGAGCUCAACUCCGGAACGGCGGUGGAAACUUGGAAACUAGAGUUCGGUAGGGGUAGCAGGAAUUCCCAGUGUAGCGGUGAAAUGCGUAGAUAUUGGGAAGAACAUCGGUGGCGAAGGCGUGCUACUGGACCGUAACUGACACUCAGGGACGAAAGCUAGGGGAGCGAAAGGGAUUAGAUACCCCUGUAGUCCUAGCUGUAAACGAUGGAAACUAGGUGUGGCUUGA